Molecule: ribosomal RNA, 331 nt
Filed under: uncultured bacterium
Lineage: Bacteria
Description: bacterial SSU rRNA
Rfam family: Bacterial small subunit ribosomal RNA
Source: RNAcentral
CGUGUAGGCGGCCUCUUAAGUCUGAUGUGAAAGCCCGGGGCUUACCCCCGGAAGGGCAUUGGAAACUGGGAGGCUAGAGUACCGGAGAGGAAGGUGGAAUUCCUGGUGUAGCGGUGAAAUGCGUAGAUAUCAGGAGGAACACCGGUGGCGAAGGCGGCCUUCUGGACGGAUACUGACGCUGAGACGCGAAAGCGUGGGGAGCAAACAGGAUUAGAUACCCUGGUAGUCCACGCCGUAAACGAUGGGCACUAGGUGUUCGGGGUAUUGACCCCCUGAGUGCCGCAGCUAACGCAUUAAGUGCCCGCCUGGGGACUACGGCCGCAAGGUUAAA